CAGCAGCCGCGGUAAUACGAAGGGUGCAAGCGUUAAUCGGAAUUACUGGGCGUAAAGCGUGCGUAGGCGGUUUGUUAAGUCUGCUGUGAAAUCCCCGGGCUCAACCUGGGAAUGGCAGUGGAUACUGGCAAGCUAGAGUGUGUCAGAGGAUGGUGGAAUUCCCGGUGUAGCGGUGAAAUGCGUAGAGAUCGGGAGGAACAUCAGUGGCGAAGGCGGCCAUCUGGGACAACACUGACGCUGAGGCACGAAAGCGUGGGGAGCAAACAGGAUUAGAUACCCCCGUAGUCCCUGUCUCUUAUAA
RNAcentral lists this ribosomal RNA (301 nucleotides) under uncultured bacterium. Its description in RNAcentral is "partial 16S ribosomal RNA". It matches the Rfam family "Bacterial small subunit ribosomal RNA", at positions 509 to 809 of the family's 1533-position model. The record is from RNAcentral.